Molecule: ribosomal RNA, 253 nt
Filed under: uncultured bacterium
Lineage: Bacteria
Description: partial 16S ribosomal RNA
Rfam family: Bacterial small subunit ribosomal RNA
Source: RNAcentral
UACGGAGGAUGCAAGCGUUAUCCGGAUUUAUUGGGUUUAAAGGGUGCAUAGGCGGGAUAAUAAGUCAGUGGUGGGAUACUACAGCUCAACUGUAGAACUGCCAUUGAUACUGUUAACCUUGAGUACAUUUGAAGUGGGCGGAAUGUGUCAUGUAGCGGUGAAAUGCUUAGAGAUGACACAGAACACCGAUAGCGAAGGCAGCUCACUAAACUGUAACUGACGCUGAGGCACGAAAGCGUGGGGAUCAAACAGG